CCUACGGGGGGCUGCAGUGGGGAAUAUUGGACAAUGGGGGGAACCCUGAUCCAGCCAUGCCGCGUGUGUGAAGAAGGCCCUCGGGUUGUAAAGCACUUUCAGUGAGGAAGAACGCCUGGUGGUUAAUACCCAUCAGGAAAGACAUCACUCACAGAAGAAGCACCGGCUAACUCCGUGCCAGCAGCCGCGGUAAUACGGAGGGUGCGAGCGUUAAUCGGAAUUACUGGGCGUAAAGCGCGCGUAGGUGGCUUGAUAAGCCGGUUGUGAAAGCCCCGGGCUCAACCUGGGAACGGCAUCCGGAACUGUCAAGCUAGAGUGCAGGAGAGGAAGGUAGAAUUCCCGGUGUAGCGGUGAAAUGCGUAGAGAUCGGGAGGAAUACCAGUGGCGAAGGCGGCCUUCUGGACUGACACUGAUACUGAGGUGCGAAAGCGUGGGUAGCAAACAGGAUUAGAUACCCCAGUAGUC
This 465-nucleotide ribosomal RNA is filed under the name Vreelandella stevensii. Its description in RNAcentral is "partial 16S ribosomal RNA". It matches the Rfam family "Bacterial small subunit ribosomal RNA", at positions 338 to 795 of the family's 1533-position model. Lineage: Bacteria; Pseudomonadati; Pseudomonadota; Gammaproteobacteria; Oceanospirillales; Halomonadaceae. The record is from RNAcentral.